Molecule: ribosomal RNA, 253 nt
Filed under: uncultured bacterium
Lineage: Bacteria
Description: partial 16S ribosomal RNA
Rfam family: Bacterial small subunit ribosomal RNA
Source: RNAcentral
UACGUAGGGUCUGAGCGUUGUCCGGAAUUAUUGGGCGUAAAGAGCUCGUAGGCGGUUUGUCGCGUCUGCUGUGAAAUCCCGAGGCUCAACCUCGGGUCUGCAGUGGGUACGGGCAGACUGGAGUGCGGUAGGGGAGAAUGGAAUUCCUGGUGUAGCGGUGGAAUGCGCAGAUAUCAGGAGGAACACCGAUGGCGAAGGCAGUUCUCUGGGCCGUAACUGACGCUGAGGAGCGAAAGCGUGGGGAGCGAACAGG